Molecule: transfer RNA, 111 nt
Filed under: Thiotrichales bacterium
Lineage: Bacteria; Pseudomonadati; Pseudomonadota; Gammaproteobacteria; Thiotrichales
Description: tRNA-Thr
Source: RNAcentral
GGCCGGGUGAGGCGGCCCGCCCCCCAGUGGCGCAUAGCCUGCAUCUGUUUGUAAUUGAGUAUGCGGACGAAAAUCCGCGUGUCGGUGGUUCGAUUCCGCUCCUGGCCACCA